Long non-coding RNA from Hyla sarda, 1097 nucleotides. RefSeq lists it as uncharacterized. The transcript is spliced from 3 exons. The record is from RefSeq and is a predicted model, not a curated record. Lineage: Eukaryota; Metazoa; Chordata; Amphibia; Anura; Hylidae.
ACAGAAAAAUCUCUCAUUUGUUCACUAGAGUUUAGCAGAGAGACAUGUCAGAACCCAUUGCCCAUUACUGUAGUUUUCUAGUGACUUUAUCGUCUUUUUCCAUUGUCAUAAAAUGAAGUAAACAAAGAAAAAAUAAUUUAGUGGAGAAAGGAGAAGAUGGAAGAGAGCUGAGCGGAGAACAGAACAGUGGAAACGAUAUCCAGGAGCCGCCCAGUACAGCUAAGGUACAGAGAAAUAAAAGCUUAUUACAUUCCUGCUAAAUAUCUGGGCCUGAAUGACCGAAAAGAGGAAGAAAACUUCCUGAAAGAGAAAGAAAACUUCCAACAAAGAAGAGAGAAGUGUAAGUGGCCUUCAAGGACCCUGCUACAUCCAUCUGAUGGGCAGCACAGAGGAUCAGAAUUCACUGACAAAUUAAGGAGCCAUCUGGGCGUCAUUUUCUGCAGAAAGAAGAUUUAGCUGAUAAAGUCACAGCGGGAAGAAGGGGUAUGGGGUGACACCUUUUUUUGCCUCAUCGGGUGACACCAACCCUCGAGCGGGGAUGGGCUGUGUAGACAUGUGGCAUCAGGAUGGUCACAGAGUGAUGGAGCCCAGGCACAGCCUGGCAAAGCAGAGCAAAGGAAGAGGAAGCUGGAAACACGGAUGCCUUAUGAUAUCUUACUUUCUCUUAGAGAGUGGGAGCCCAUGGGGACCCGGAGCAGACAAUACAGAAAAGGUGUAUUAUUUUAUCGUAAAGUUUUUGUGGGACAGUUUGAGAAAAAUUAUUUUAUAUAGUAGGACAUUAUUUUAUAUGGGGCAUUGUGGGGGCACUAAAUGUGUUGCAUUAUUAUAUAUAUGGGAAUACAGGAUAUUCAACUUUUUCUGUCCACCAACACAAAAUACUCUGAUAGUGCCCCUCCCGAGACUAGGCUCUGGAUCGGCCCCUGCUCAGGGCUCCUCUGUACCGGUUACAUUAUCAUAUUAAUCCUUCUCCUGUGGCCGUGCUAUAUCUCCUAACCAUCCAGGCCUGGCUACAUCAGCACUAGCUCUCCAGCUAUCACCCCAGUCUGCCCCGCCAUUCAUCACCCUCCCCUGCCUGUGUCCAUCUCAUUCACCCUGGG